GAACGCUGGCGGCGUGCUUAACACAUGCAAGUCGAACGCGAAAGAUUUCUUCGGAGAUCGAGUAGAGUGGCGCACGGGUGAGUAACGCGUAAGUUAUCUACCUCGGCAUCUGGAAUAACGCACCGAAAGGUGAGCUAAUACCGGAUACGUUGAGUAAUCAAGAAAGGUGGCCUCUGCAUAUGCUACCGUGCUGGGAUGAGCUUGCGUACCAUUAGCUAGUUGGUAGGGUAAUGGCCUACCAAGGCGACGAUGGUUAGCGGGUCUGAGAGGAUGAUCCGCCACACUGGAACUGGAACACGGACCAGACUCCUACGGGAGGCAGCAGUGAGGAAUAUUGCGCAAUGGGGGCAACCCUGACGCAGCGACGCCGCGUGGAUGAUGAAGGCCUUCGGGUCGUAAAAUCCUGUCAGGUGGAAAGAAAUGCAUGGUGGUCAAUACCCAUCAUGUUUGACGGUACCACCGAAGGAAGCACCGGCUAACUCCGUGCCAGCAGCCGCGGUAA
This 502-nucleotide ribosomal RNA is filed under the name uncultured Desulfobulbaceae bacterium. RNAcentral describes it as "bacterial SSU rRNA". It matches the Rfam family "Bacterial small subunit ribosomal RNA", at positions 31 to 523 of the family's 1533-position model. The record is from RNAcentral. Lineage: Bacteria; Pseudomonadati; Thermodesulfobacteriota; Desulfobulbia; Desulfobulbales; Desulfobulbaceae.